AUACAACCUAGGCUCGCAUGAAGAUUCGCAAAAAUGAUUGGGUGUCACUUCCGGAUUGUCUUUGAGAUUCAGAUCUAAAAUAGCCCAUAAACCUUUUGGAUUUGGGUGGAGGGUGCUAUGGAAGGAAGAGGUGCUCAAGGUGGAGGAUCUUGUGUGAGAGAGGUUCCAGCUAUAGGCAAAUAAUUUUUGUUGGAGGAUACAACCUAGGUUUACAGAAAUGGUUGGGUGUCACUUCCAGAUAGUCUUGAGAUAUAGAUCUCAAAGAGCCUGGAAUCCUUUUAGAUUUAGGUGGAGGGUGUGCCAUUCUGGAAGAGCAAAGGAGUUCUUAGGGGAAGGACAAGUGCAUUAAGGUUGAUGGAAGAAGGUACACAUGGUCCUAUGUCGUGUGGUCUACCGUUCCAUGACCAGGACACGUUGAUGGCCUCGAGUGGUAGAGAGGAUGGAUUGCUGGGCGCGAGGAUGCAUGUAAUAGACAAUAGAAGAUAGUUGGCCGUGCCUUUAGUUAUGCGUGUGGUAGAUAAUGUUGACUCGUGUGUGAUAAGUGAACUUACCCGCCAAGGCUUAGAUAAAGCGCUGAGCCCCGAGUCUCUUGCCUUUGCUAGAGUAGGUUUGUCCUUUGAAAAAAAAUACAUGAGUUUUAGGAUAGUGUGGGAGCUCGUCCAAGGCCAAGGUUCGAUCAACGUUCUUGGGUAGUUUAUCAAGUCCUCAUCGUCUUAGUUGUUUUUUCGUUGCUAUUCCCUCUUAUCCGGUCUCCUUCGGUUAUGCAUAGCCUCCCUACUCAUCCUAUUUUGACUUCUAUUUAGGGUAGCGGCAUGUGGAUAGGAGAAAAUCGUUGUGCUUUGUGAAGGGAUCCUGAUUCGACAACGUAUCUUGCCUAAUUCUAAUUCAUAGCCGUUGAUAGCGGUGGACCAAAUGCACAACUGGUAGGCGUUGACAUCUAUUCAGAUUGCACUUAGAAUCGGGGACAAAUUUCUUGGGCUUCGAGGAUAUCUCCCAAUGCUUAGACCCAUGGGAAGAGCCACUGCUCAUCUCUCCUCUAUCAAUUGAAGAUCCGAGACUUAAGGGGCUAACAUACCAUAAUAAGGAGUUAGUAGUGGCUAAGGUAGGAAAUAAGGAGGGCCAAAUUUUUAGAGGGAGCAGUGUUACUGAAGAAGACCUUGAUUGUUCAGAGACUAUAUCUAGCGAGUUCGGAGCGUAGUAGGGUAACUAUUGAAGGUAGCAAUGAAGAUAUAUUUGUGAUUUUUAAAUCCCUUGGAGAGUGUUGAAAAGAAAACUAGGGAGAAGAUCAGGCACAGAGCAACAAUCGGGUAAGAGAAAACUCCUCAAACUUGUGUCAUCCGUGAACUAUGACAUAUUAGGGGGAUCCAAAGAGGGCAAACUGCUUUUGCUAACUUUUCCAUUAGUAGUGGGUGAGGAAAGGGUUAGGGGAUUAGGGAAGAAAGAAGUUUAACUAAUGAAGCUGAUGUCAUGGAAUGUAUGAGGAUUGGGCUUCCCUUCUAAGAGAGGCAAGGCGAAACAAUUUUAUAGGGCUUAGAAGGCACAGUUGGUCACUUUCUAAGAGACCAAAAAUGCAAGUGUGGGAUAAAGGACUGGUAGUGUCUAUUUGGGCAGGUAUGUCUUUUGAUUGGGUAGCUUCUGACUCAAAUGGGGCCUCAAGUGGGAUGGUUAUCGUUUAGGAUGACAACAAGGUAUUACAAAAGGUCACGUAAUGACUGCAAUGACUAUUAUGUAAUGGUAACGAUAGGAACCAUUAUGCAUUAGGGGCCGUAAUGGCUGUUACUGAAAAAUGACUUAUAUUGGGCCAUCACGGGGCUGGAGUAUUGUGGGGAAGUAUGUUAUGGAAUUUGUAGUGGAGUUUUCAGAUCGUGGUUGCCUUUCGUUGGAGCUGGUGGCAUCUUUUAAUUCUCUUAUAACCAAGACAGAGGGGGCUGGACAUCUUAAAGACUUUAGGCUGAUCAGUCUAAUCAGAGGCCGCUAUAAAAUUCUGGCUAAGAUUCUAGCCCUCAGAUUCAAGGAGCUCAUUUCUAAAGUUAUCUUGGAAAACUAGGGGGGCCUUCGUUAUGGGGCAGGCAAAUUUUGGAUAAUAUUCUUGUGGCCCACGAAUGCAUUGAUUCUAGACAUAGAGAGAAAAAGUGGAGUUGUCUGUAAGCUCGACAUUGAGAAGCCAUAUGAUCAUGUUGAUUGGGAGUUCUUGGAUUACAUGCUCGGCAGGUUGGGAUGCGAUAGUAACUGGAGGGGGUGGAUCAGGUCAUGCUUGCAUUCUGCUUCAUUUUCCAUAUUGCUAAACGACUCGCCUAAAGGAUAUUUCAAAGCUUCUCGUGGCCUAAGACGGAGAUCCGCUUUCUCUUUAUUUGUUUGUGGUUGUAGCUGAGGCCUUCAGCGUGAUGCUUCAAAAAGGAGAGAAGAAUGGGUUAAUCCGCGACUUUCGGAUUGCGGGUCUUCAUACCUCUAUUAGUCAUCUACAAUAUGCAGAUGAUACACUCCUUUUUUGAAAUGCAAAUGUUGAGUCGAGUAAACUUGAGAAUGAUUAUCGUGCGUUUCGAAGCGGCUUCAGAGCUGAAGGUAAAUAUGGGGAAAUUUGGGAUGUUGGGAGUGCGCGUAGAUAAUGAGGUCCCUCUCUAGUCUUGCUAUCACUUUUGGGUGCCAAUCUGGCUCCUUCUCAUUGAUAUACCUCAGCCUGCCUUUGUGUAUGGGGAAGCCGACCAUGCAUCUUUGGACAAGGUCAUCAAAAGGAUAGAGCGUAAGCUUGCUUCUUGGAAGUGUAUAUAUCUCUCUUUUGGCGGUCGUCUAACCCUAAGUAAGGCAAUUUUCUCCAACAUGCCUGUGUACUUCGUGUCUUUAUUCAAAUGUUCGAAAUCGAUUUUGGACAUGCUCGAGAAGUAAAGAAGGGAUUUCCUAUGGAACGGAUCUAAUGAUGGGAGAAAGUUUCAUCUUCUAAGCUUCUAUGAACAUGGCUCUCCUUGGGAAAUGUAUUUGGAGAUUUAGUACAGAAGAAGACAUAUUCUGGAGAAAUUUGAUUGCUACUAAGUACGGAUUGCAGGAGGGUGUCUGGUUUACAAAAAACCUCCUCUUUAUAUAGAGCUUGAGGUGCUUGGAAAGCGAUCGCGUCCAUGCAACAUCUUGUGUUGUGAGUAGGCGCAUCUCCUUCAUGGUAGGAAGAGGAUCUCGUAUACGGUUUUGCGUGGAUGUGUGGUGCGGUUCUCAGCCGCUUCAAGACUUGUUCCCAAGGGUUGUUAGGCUCUCUCCCGAUAUAUUUGUUCGUGUGGUGGAAUGAUUCUUGUGGGAUGGGGAGAAGGUUGUGUGGGCUCCCCCUUGCCGCAAAAAUCUCGAGGAUUGAAUUUGACGAGUUUCUCACAUUGCUUGGUGUUCUUCAAUCGGAGAAACCGGAUGUGAUUGAAGAAGACAUAAUCAUUUGGAUAGGAAAUAGAUCCAGGAGGUUUUCAGUUAGAUCCCUUUUAAAAAAUUUCCUCCAUGUUGCCUCGUAAUUUGGAUCCGACUCAUCCUUUCCACCAUUGGUUCUACGGAGCAGCCCCCUCCCCCUCCCCCCCCCCCCCCUCGGGUUGUGGCUUUUGUCUAGACGGUAGGCUGGAAAAGAAUUCUCACUGUGGAUAACAUCCAGAGGAGCGCUUUUCCUAGUAUAUGUUCAUUGUGUAUGUACAACAAGGAGUCAAUUGAUUACCUCUUCAUCCAAUGCCCUUUCAUCUUGAGGAUUUGGGAUUAUUUCCUUUCGAGGUUUCACAUUGAUUGGAUUAUGCCAAAAACUGUAGAAGAGUUGCUUUGGACCUAGCAUGGAGGCGGAGGCGACACGUCUCGAAAAGCUAUAUGCCAUUUGAUAGUCAUGGCUAGAGGUGUACACGAACCGAGCUAGCACGAUUAGCUUUCUCGACUCGACUCGAAAAAGCUCGAUUCGACUCGGUUCGAAGCUGAGUUUGAGCCGAGUCGAGCUGAUUUUUUGAGCUCGAAAAUGAGUUCGAGCUGGCCCUAGCUGGACUCAACUCGGAUCGAACUAGUUCGGUGACUUGGUUACUUUGAUAUUGAUGUUGCUCACCAAGUGUUUGAUGAAAUGACUCAAAGAAGUGUGGCUGUUGGCAAGGAAG
Molecule: long non-coding RNA, 4097 nt
Organism: Magnolia sinica
Lineage: Eukaryota; Viridiplantae; Streptophyta; Magnoliopsida; Magnoliales; Magnoliaceae
Exons: 2
Source: RefSeq, a predicted model, not a curated record